UAACGAAUCUUCCGCAAUGCGCGAAAGCGUGACGGAGCAAUGCCGCGUGUAGGAUGUAGCUUCUCGGAGUGUAAACUACUGUCAGGGUUUAGCAACACAAUGAGCAGACCCAAAGGAAGGGCCGGCUAACUUCGUGCCAGCAGCCGCGGUAAUACGAAGGGCCCGAGCGUUGCGCGGAAUCAUUGGGCUUAAAGCGUACGUAGGCGGACACAUAGGCGCUUUGUGAAAUCCCUCGGCUCAACCGAGGAACUGCUUGGCGAACCAUGUGUCUUGAGGCAAGUAGGGGCUGUCGGAACGAUAGGUGGAGUGGUGAAAUGCGUUGAUAUCUAUCGGAACGCCGAAGGAGAAAU
Molecule: ribosomal RNA, 350 nt
Filed under: uncultured bacterium
Lineage: Bacteria
Description: bacterial SSU rRNA
Rfam family: Bacterial small subunit ribosomal RNA
Source: RNAcentral